AUACACAUGCAGUCGAGCGGUAGCACAGAGAGCUUGCUCUCGGGUGACGAGCGGCGGACGGGUGAGUAAUGUCUGGGAAACUGCCUGAUGGAGGGGGAUAACUACUGGAAACGGUAGCUAAUACCGCAUAACGUCGCAAGACCAAAGUGGGGGACCUUCGGGCCUCAUGCCAUCAGAUGUGCCCAGAUGGGAUUAGCUAGUAGGUGGGGUAACGGCUCACCUAGGCGACGAUCCCUAGCUGGUCUGAGAGGAUGACCAGCCACACUGGAACUGAGACACGGUCCAGACUCCUACGGGAGGCAGCAGUGGGGAAUAUUGCACAAUGGGCGCAAGCCUGAUGCAGCCAUGCCGCGUGUGUGAAGAAGGCCUUCGGGUUGUAAAGCACUUUCAGCGGGGAGGAAGGCGGUGAGGUUAAUAACCUCAUCGAUUGACGUUACCCGCAGAAGAAGCACCGGCUAACUCCGUGCCAGCAGCCGCGGUAAUACGGAGGGUGCAAGCGUUAAUCGGAAUUACUGGGCGUAAAGCGCACGCAGGCGGUCUGUCAAGUCGGAUGUGAAAUCCCCGGGCUCAACCUGGGAACUGCAUUCGAAACUGGCAGGCUAGAGUCUUGUAGAGGGGGGUAGAAUUCCAGGUGUAGCGGUGAAAUGCGUAGAGAUCUGGAGGAAUACCGGUGGCGAAGGCGGCCCCCUGGACAAAGACUGACGCUCAGGUGCGAAAGCGUGGGGAGCAAACAGGAUUAGAUACCCUGGUAGUCCACGCUGUAAACGAUGUCGAUUUGGAGGUUGUGCCCUUGAGGCGUGGCUUCCGGAGCUAACGCGUUAAAUCGACCGCCUGGGGAGUACGGCCGCAAGGUUAAAACUCAAUGAAUUGACGGGGGCCCGCACAAGCGGUGGAGCAUGUGGUUUAAUUCGAUGCAACGCGAAAACCUUACCUGGUCUUGACAUCCACAGAACUUAGCAGAGAUGCUUUGGUGCCUUCGGAACUGUGAGACAGUGCUGCAUGGCUGUCGUCAGCUCGUGUGUGAAUGUUGGGUUAAGUCCCGCACGAGCGCACC
RNAcentral lists this ribosomal RNA (1054 nucleotides) under Klebsiella pneumoniae. RNAcentral describes it as "bacterial SSU rRNA". It matches the Rfam family "Bacterial small subunit ribosomal RNA", at positions 49 to 1102 of the family's 1533-position model. Lineage: Bacteria; Pseudomonadati; Pseudomonadota; Gammaproteobacteria; Enterobacterales; Enterobacteriaceae. The record is from RNAcentral.